Molecule: ribosomal RNA, 412 nt
Filed under: uncultured bacterium
Lineage: Bacteria
Description: bacterial SSU rRNA
Rfam family: Bacterial small subunit ribosomal RNA
Source: RNAcentral
GACGAACGCUGGCGGCGUGCUUAACACAUGCAAGUCGAGCGGUAAGGCCCUUUCGGGGGUACGACGAGCGGCGAACGGGUGAGUAACACGUGGGUGACCUGCCCUCAGCUCUGGGGUAAGCCUGGGAAACCGGGUCUAAUACUGGAUAUGACUCCAUGACGCAUGUUGUGGGGUGGAAAGCCUUGUGCGGCUGAGGAUGGGCCCGCGGUCUAUCAGCUUGUUGGUGGGGUGAGGCCUACCAAGGCGACGACGGGUAGCCGGCCUGAGAGGGCGACCGGCCACACUGGGACUGAGACACGGCCCAGACUCCUACGGGAGGCAGCAGUGGGGAAUAUUGCACAAUGGGCGAAAGCCUGAUGCAGCAAUGCCGCGUGUGUGAAGAAGGCCUGCGGGUUGUAAAGCACUUUCGGUA